This 838-nucleotide long non-coding RNA is filed under the name Zostera marina. RNAcentral describes it as "long non-coding RNA (ZMAR_LNC004074)". Lineage: Eukaryota; Viridiplantae; Streptophyta; Magnoliopsida; Alismatales; Zosteraceae. The record is from RNAcentral.
CUCAGAUAAUUGACCAGAUAACUGGAUGAGGGAUCUGCGUAAAGUAGUCAACCUCUGUAUUUGACCAGAUAACUGGAAGAGGGAUCUUUUUAAUUAAGUGUUGUUUUUAGAUAAAAGAUAAAACUAUAAUUAACAGAGAACAACACAAGAGAUUUAUACUGGUUCACCCAAACAAGGGCUAGUCCAGUCCCGACCAACUGCCGAAAUUCACUCGCCUAAAGGUAAUGGCAAAACCUUAGAGUAUCAAGGAAACUCUUAAGAACCUCUCUAAGCUUUAAGGCUACUUCGCUUAGGAACCAGUCUUUUACGGGUAGACUCACACCUUAGAGUAUCAAGGGUACUCUUAAGAACCUCUAACUUUUGCGGGUAAGUUAGUACCUUAGAGUAUCAAGGAACUCUUAAAAACCUCUCUAAGCUUUAAGGCUACUUCGCUGAGGAACCAGUCUUUUACGGGUAGACUCACACCUUAGAGUAACAAGGGCCCUCUUAAGAACCUCUAACUUUUACAGGUAAGUUAGUACCUUAGAGUAUCAAGGAACUCUUAAAAACCACUGAAAUCUUUAAAGGUAGACUCGACCUAAGAGUUUUCCCGGAAACUCUAUAAAACCAAACUAGAGCUUUAUGGUUGAGCUCACAAACCUUCUCUCACACUUUGGUACUAUUGAGACAACCCUCUCAACCAAAGUGGACACACACAAGAGGUGAUUAGAGGAGUGGAAUAUUAAAGCAAACAACACUUCUUACUUGUAAAGAUGAACAAGAAGAUUAGAAGAAGAAGUUGGAGAGCUUUUGAAGCUUUGGAAAGCUAAUACACUUGAGCACUUGGAAGCUUGGAGGC